Molecule: unclassified non-coding RNA, 894 nt
Filed under: Hevea brasiliensis (rubber tree)
Lineage: Eukaryota; Viridiplantae; Streptophyta; Magnoliopsida; Malpighiales; Euphorbiaceae
Source: RNAcentral
UUGGGUUGGUAAAUUUUCAGUUUUAGUCCCUGAAAGGGACCUAGGUCAAACUGCCAGAAUCUGAACACUAACCUAUCCGAAUUGUAACUUGGUUCUAGUAAUUCAAACACACGAUAAAAUGGUUCUAAUUGACCAUUUCUCAACUCAAUUAAGGUCAAUUGCAUCAAUUGACCAAUUUCCCCAAUUUUUUCCAAAUUUUCAAAUUGCUCAAGAACCCUAAUUAUAAAAUCUUGGAAUUUAAUGCAAUUAACUUACAUAUUCAUUGUCUACACCUCUAAUUCACCUAAAUUAACUAUUUAAUUUCAUCAAAAUCACUCAAUUCACACUCCCUUGAUGGCUGGCCGAAUUCCCAAUCAAUCCCCCAACAAUUGCUUUCUUUAAAUUUUAAGUUAAUAUCUAAGUUACUUGAGCUAAACACACAACUAAUAAACCAAAAUUUUCAAAUUACAUGACUUACCUCCACUUGAAUUUCAAUUCUCCUAUUUCUUUCCUUGUCUCCCUUUCUUUCCUUCUUAAACCUUCUUGUUAAUGGUGAUUUAGGAGUUUUUGAGGGUUUAGGGUUGAAACUUAUGGAACACAAUCAAGAAAUUCAAGCUUUAAAAGGUUGUUAAUGGAGGUUGGCUAUGGAGAUCUUCAAGAGAGAGAGGGGCUGCCGAUUUCAUGAAGAAAGAAUAGUGACUUUUUUUCUUUUAAUUUUAUGUAUUUGUCUUCUUUAAACAAUUUUUGACUUGGUCAAUAUUGGUGGGUAAUAAAAAAAAAUCAAUUAUGAUGUCAUAAAGGUGAGAUAAGCAUGAUGUAAUAACUUUUUAAAUUUUCUUUUUUUUUUGCAUUUAUUUUUCCAUUGGUUCUUUAAUUUAAUUCUCGAUUUUAAAAUUUUCUUUUCUCCGAUUUUAU